UACGAGGGGGGCGAGCGUUGUUCGGAAUUAUUGGGCGUAAAGGGUGCGUAGGCGGUCUGAUAAGUCAUCUGUGAAAUCUAUGGGCUCAACCCAUAGUCUGCAGGCGAAACUGUCGGGCUUGAGUAUGGGAGAGGUGAGUGGAAUUUCCGGUGUAGCGGUGAAAUGCGUAGAUAUCGGAAGGAACACCUGUGGCGAAAGCGGCUCACUGGACCAUUACUGACGCUGAUGCACGAAAGCUAGGGGAGCAAACAGG
This 253-nucleotide ribosomal RNA is filed under the name uncultured bacterium. RNAcentral's name for it is "partial 16S ribosomal RNA". It matches the Rfam family "Bacterial small subunit ribosomal RNA", at positions 524 to 776 of the family's 1533-position model. The record is from RNAcentral.